CAGUAGCCGCGGGAAUACGUAGGGCGCAAGCGUUAUCCGGAAUUAUUGGGCGUAAAGAGCUCGUAGGCGGUUUGUCGCGUCUGCCGUGAAAGUCCGGGGCUCAACCCCGGAUCUGCGGUGGGUACGGGCAGACUAGAGUGAUGUAGGGGAGACUGGAAUUCCUGGUGUAGCGGUGAAAUGCGCAGAUAUCAGGAGGAACACCGAUGGCGAAGGCAGGUCUCUGGGCAUUAACUGACGCUGAGGAGCGAAAGCAUGGGGAGCGAACAGGAUUAGAUACCCCUGUAGUUCCUGUCUCUUAUAC
Molecule: ribosomal RNA, 301 nt
Filed under: uncultured bacterium
Lineage: Bacteria
Description: partial 16S ribosomal RNA
Rfam family: Bacterial small subunit ribosomal RNA
Source: RNAcentral